RNAcentral lists this ribosomal RNA (665 nucleotides) under uncultured beta proteobacterium. RNAcentral's name for it is "bacterial SSU rRNA". It matches the Rfam family "Bacterial small subunit ribosomal RNA", at positions 62 to 724 of the family's 1533-position model. The record is from RNAcentral. Lineage: Bacteria; Pseudomonadati; Pseudomonadota; Betaproteobacteria.
UCGAACGGUAACAGGUCUUCGGAUGCUGACGAGUGGCGAACGGGUGAGUAAUACAUCGGAACGUGCCCGAUCGUGGGGGAUAACGAAGCGAAAGCUUUGCUAAUACCGCAUAAGAUCUACAGAUGAAAGCAGGGGACCGCAAGGCCUUGCGCGAACGGAGCGGCCGAUGGCAGAUUAGGUAGUUGGUGGGAUAAAAGCUUACCAAGCCGACGAUCUGUAGCUGGUCUGAGAGGACGACCAGCCACACUGGGACUGAGACACGGCCCAGACUCCUACGGGAGGCAGCAGUGGGGAAUUUUGGACAAUGGGCGAAAGCCUGAUCCAGCCAUGCCGCGUGCAGGAUGAAGGCCUUCGGGUUGUAAACUGCUUUUGUACGGAACGAAAAGACUCUGGUUAAUACCUGGGGUCCAUGACGGUACCGUAAGAAUAAGCACCGGCUAACUACGUGCCAGCAGCCGCGGUAAUACGUAGGGUGCAAGCGUUAAUCGGAAUUACUGGGCGUAAAGCGUGCGCAGGCGGUUAUAUAAGACAGAUGUGAAAUCCCCGGGCUCAACCUGGGAACUGCAUUUGUGACUGUAUAGCUAGAGUACGGCAGAGGGGGAUGGAAUUCCGCGUGUAGCAGUGAAAUGCGUAGAUAUGCGGAGGAACACCGAUGGCGAAGGCAA